Molecule: small RNA, 578 nt
Filed under: Pan troglodytes (chimpanzee)
Lineage: Eukaryota; Metazoa; Chordata; Mammalia; Primates; Hominidae
Description: processed transcript
Source: RNAcentral
AGCACUUGCACAUAAGACACACACAGGUGUCUGGUUCUGUGGUGCAUGAACGACUUUUCUAAGCGAGAGACACAGCAGCCUGAGCAGACUCAGGUGAGUGACCUCUGGGCAGAUGCCGAGGAGGGUCACCCCUGAGCACUCACCGGGUGCAUGUUCUGCACUGACGGCGUGGACCAUCCUCUCUUUUGUCCUCACAGAGACUCUGUGGCGAUGGGUGCUGUCCCCAAAUGUAGCCAUUCCACAGGAAAACAAAGUCCCCUCCUGUAUUGACAGCUGGGAAUUGUGGUGUCCACCGUCCUCGACCUGCGAUGGGGUCUCCAUGAGCACAGAGGCUGCUCUGGAGUCAAUAGAUCAUCUUUUCCCCAAACCAAACUGCUUGGCUGGCGUUGUUCCUGAAGCGGCUUCACUGGCCAGAGUGAGUGAGAAUUGGGGUAGAACGGAGCAGUCACCAGAUGUCUUGCUUCCUACAGAAAACUGAUUAUAUUCCUGGUCCCUGAACGAUCCUAUAGAGACAUCCAGUCCCUGACUCCACCUGCCUCCAGGUGCCCAGAACAGCCCAUCGUGGGGACUUCACCCUC